UUGCACCUUAAGAUCUGAGGGUAUCCAGCUUAUGUCAAGUAUUUAAAGACAGAUAAGCUUGGAUCUAAGUCCGAUAAUUAUUCGUAGGCUACCCAAAGAAAACUAAAAGGUACUACUUCUAUCUCACUGAAGAUCAAAAGAUGUUUGUCAACAACAGGACAGUCUUUUUGAAAAAAGAGUUUCUUAGAGAAGGAACUAACGUCUAUAAAAUUAAACUUGAUAAAGUUCAAGAGAUGGAAGGACUGACACAUACAAAAAUAAAUUUGAUUGGAUAAUCGAAUCCAGAGCUAGUAGAGGCACCAUUGAGGAGAUCUGAUAGAGUAUCACGUCAGUCGGACAGUUAUUAUAAUUUUUUGAUUCAGGACAGUGAUCCCAUCGAACUAGAUGAGAAUGAUGAAGAUCCGGUCACCUAUAUGGAAGCUAUGUAAAGAUCCGACUCUCAGAAAUGACUAGAAGUCAUGAAGUCCGAGAUGGAGU
RNAcentral lists this long non-coding RNA (477 nucleotides) under Elaeis guineensis (African oil palm). RNAcentral's name for it is "long non-coding RNA (EGUI_LNC014747)". The record is from RNAcentral. Lineage: Eukaryota; Viridiplantae; Streptophyta; Magnoliopsida; Arecales; Arecaceae.